AUUGAACGCUGGCGGCGUGCCUAACACAUGCAAGUCGAGCGGUAACAGGUGUAGCAAUACAUGCUGACGAGCGGCGGACGGGUGAGUAACGCUUGGGAAUCUGCCUGUUAGUGGGGGACAACCCGGGAAACGUCGGGCUAAUACCGCAUACGCACUACGGUGGAAAGCCGGGGACCGCAAGGCCUGGCGCUAACAGAUGAGCCCAAGUCGGAUUAGCUAGUUGGUAGGGUAACGGCCUACCAAGGCGACGAUCCGUAACUGGUCUGAGAGGGCGACCGGCCACACUGGGACUGAGACACGGCCCAGACUCCUACGGGAGGCAGCAGUGGGGAAUCUUGCGCAAUGGGCGAAAGCCUGACGCAGCGACGCCGCGUGAGGGAUGACGGCCUU
This 390-nucleotide ribosomal RNA is filed under the name uncultured bacterium. RNAcentral describes it as "bacterial SSU rRNA". It matches the Rfam family "Bacterial small subunit ribosomal RNA", at positions 29 to 418 of the family's 1533-position model. The record is from RNAcentral.